AACAAACGCUGGCGACAUGCCUAACACAUGCAAGUCGAACGAGACCUUCGGGUCUAGUGGCGCACGGGUGCGUAACGCGUGGGAACCUGCCCUUAGGUUCGGAAUAACUCCCCGAAAGGGGUGCUAAUACCGGAUAAUGUCUUCGGACCAAAGAUUUAUCGCCUUUGGAUGGGCCCGCGUUGGAUUAGCUAGUUGGUAGGGUAAAAGCCUACCAAGGCGACGAUCCAUAGCUGGUCUGAGAGGAUGAUCAGCCACACUGGGACUGAGACACGGCCCAGACUCCUACGGGAGGCAGCAGUGGGGAAUAUUGGACAAUGGGCGAAAGCCUGAUCCAGCAAUGCCGCGUGAGUGAUGAAGGCCUUAGGGUUGUAAAGCUCUUUUACCCGGGAUGAUAAUGACAGUACCGGGAGAAUAAGCUCCGGCUAACUCCGUG
This 433-nucleotide ribosomal RNA is filed under the name uncultured bacterium. Its description in RNAcentral is "partial 16S ribosomal RNA". It matches the Rfam family "Bacterial small subunit ribosomal RNA", at positions 29 to 507 of the family's 1533-position model. The record is from RNAcentral.